CAGCAGCCACGGUAAUACAGAGGGUGCGAGCGUUAAUCGGAUUUACUGGGCGUAAAGCGUGCGUAGGCGGCUUUUUAAGUCGGAUGUGAAAUCCCUGAGCUUAACUUAGGAAUUGCAUUCGAUACUGGGAAGCUAGAGUAUGGGAGAGGAUGGUAGAAUUCCAGGUGUAGCGGUGAAAUGCGUAGAGAUCUGGAGGAAUACCGAUGGCGAAGGCAGCCAUCUGGCCUAAUACUGACGCUGAGGUACGAAAGCAUGGGGAGCAAACAGGAUUAGAUACCCGAGUAGUCCCUGUCUCUUAUAC
Molecule: ribosomal RNA, 301 nt
Filed under: uncultured bacterium
Lineage: Bacteria
Description: partial 16S ribosomal RNA
Rfam family: Bacterial small subunit ribosomal RNA
Source: RNAcentral